AUUGAACGCUGCGGCAUGCCUUACACAUGCAAGUCGAACGGCAGCGCGGGAGCAAUCCUGCGGCGAGUGCGAACGGGUGAGUAAUAUAUCGGAACGUGCCCAGUAGUGGGGGAUAGCCCGGCGAAAGCCGGAUUAAUACCGCAUACGACCUGAGGGUGAAAGCGGGGGAUCGCAAGACCUCGCGCUACUGGAGCGGCCGAUAUCAGAUUAGCUAGUUGGUGGGGUAAAGGCCUACCAAGGCAACGAUCUGUAGUUGGUCUGAGAGGACGACCAGCCACACUGGGACUGAGACACGGCCCAGACUCCUACGGGAGGCAGCAGUGGGGAAUUUUGGACAAUGGGCGCAAGCCUGAUCCAGCAAUGCCGCGUGCAGGAAGAAGGCCUUCGGGUUGUAAACUGCUUUUGUCAGGGAAGAAAUCUUCU
RNAcentral lists this ribosomal RNA (423 nucleotides) under Leptothrix sp. oral taxon 025. RNAcentral describes it as "bacterial SSU rRNA". It matches the Rfam family "Bacterial small subunit ribosomal RNA", at positions 30 to 456 of the family's 1533-position model. The record is from RNAcentral. Lineage: Bacteria; Pseudomonadati; Pseudomonadota; Betaproteobacteria; Burkholderiales; Sphaerotilaceae.